Non-coding RNA from Peziza echinospora, 83 nucleotides. Lineage: Eukaryota; Fungi; Ascomycota; Pezizomycetes; Pezizales; Pezizaceae. The record is from the annotation of a GenBank genome assembly.
UCCGUCAUGGUGUAGUGGCUAGCAUUUCAGACUCUCAUCGAACGUGAACUCUGAGAACCCGGGUUCAAUUCCCGGUGACGGAA